Molecule: ribosomal RNA, 436 nt
Filed under: uncultured Caulobacteraceae bacterium
Lineage: Bacteria; Pseudomonadati; Pseudomonadota; Alphaproteobacteria; Caulobacterales; Caulobacteraceae
Description: bacterial SSU rRNA
Rfam family: Bacterial small subunit ribosomal RNA
Source: RNAcentral
CGGGGGGCUGCAGUGGGGAAUCUUGCGCAAUGGGCGAAAGCCUGACGCAGCCAUGCCGCGUGAAUGAUGAAGGUCUUAGGAUUGUAAAAUUCUUUCAGUAGGGACGAUAAUGACGGUACCUACAGAAGAAGCCCCGGCUAACUUCGUGCCAGCAGCCGCGGUAAUACGAAGGGGGCUAGCGUUGCUCGGAAUUACUGGGCGUAAAGGGAGCGUAGGCGGACAUUUAAGUCAGGGGUGAAAUCCCGGGGCUCAACCUCGGAAUUGCCUUUGAUACUGGGUGUCUUGAGUGUGAGAGAGGUAUGUGGAACUCCGAGUGUAGAGGUGAAAUUCGUAGAUAUUCGGAAGAACACCAGUGGCGAAGGCGACAUACUGGCUCAUUACUGACGCUGAGGCUCGAAAGCGUGGGGAGCAAACAGGAUUAGAUACCCGUGUAGUC